AAUAAUUGAACGUUUCACGAAGGAACUUGUAUGCGUUUGUAUUUAACACAUUUUUUAAAAAGUCCUAACAAAUAGCAAAAGCUGAACGUUGGUGCCGGAAAAUCUUGCUUAAGAAGAGGGAAACUUCGCUGAGCGACGCCGCUAAGUUAGUGAAAUUAACACGACUGUUAUCAGCAGCAGAGAGAGGAACGGUGACGCUGCCACAGUUUGCUGCAAUUGGAGAAUUCCGAAGAAAAAACAACGUAAACGAGAAAACUACGGUCAGCGUAAGCAGGAUCCUCUCCUCAAGACGACGGUGGAAGUCGAGGAAACGUAAUCAGCUGGAGGACGGGAUGAGGGUCGAUGAUGACGGCGGCUACAUCUGUGUUUGUGUGCGACUGCAGCCUCAGCGUGAGUCCGUAUUUACAUCUCAGUGAACAGAGAGAUUCACUCAUCAGUUUGAAUGACCUUGUAAAGUCGCUAAAUCCCCUGCUUCACAAUGAAUAAAUACAUAAACAAUGAAAUUUUAUCCGCUGGCAGAGGCAGUGGCUCAUUUCCACACAAAGUGAGAC
Long non-coding RNA from Cynoglossus semilaevis (tongue sole), 551 nucleotides. RefSeq lists it as uncharacterized. The transcript is spliced from 3 exons. The record is from RefSeq and is a predicted model, not a curated record. Lineage: Eukaryota; Metazoa; Chordata; Actinopteri; Pleuronectiformes; Cynoglossidae.